Molecule: transfer RNA, 76 nt
Filed under: Paenibacillus contaminans
Lineage: Bacteria; Bacillati; Bacillota; Bacilli; Caryophanales; Paenibacillaceae
Also listed under: 1 other name
Description: tRNA-Arg
Rfam family: tRNA
About the family: Transfer RNA (tRNA) molecules are approximately 80 nucleotides in length.
Source: RNAcentral
GUCCCCGUAGCUCAAUAGGAUAGAGCAGUCCUCUCCUAAAGGACAGAUGGCGGUUCGAUUCCGUCCGGGGACGCCA